Molecule: ribosomal RNA, 305 nt
Filed under: uncultured bacterium
Lineage: Bacteria
Description: bacterial SSU rRNA
Rfam family: Bacterial small subunit ribosomal RNA
Source: RNAcentral
UACGACCUACGGGAGGCAGCAGUGGGGAAUAUUGCACAAUGGGGGGAACCCUGAUGCAGCGACGCCGCGUGGGUGAGGAAGUACUUCGGUAUGUAAAGCCCUAUCAGCAGGGAAGAAAAUGACGGUACCUGACUAAGAAGCCCCGGCUAACUACGUGCCAGCAGCCGCGGUAAUACGUAGGGGGCAAGCGUUAUCCGGAUUUACUGGGUGUAAAGGGAGCGUAGACGGCUGUGCAAGUCUGAAGUGAAAUGCCGGGGCCCAACCCCGGAACCGCUUUGGAAACUGUACAGCUAGAGUGCAGGAGG